GGGCCCAUAGCUCAGCGGUAGAGCAGCCGGCUCAUAACCGGUCGGUCCCUGGUUCGAUCCCAGGUGGGCCCACCA
This 75-nucleotide transfer RNA is filed under the name bacterium. RNAcentral's name for it is "tRNA-Ile". It matches the Rfam family "tRNA". Rfam says of the family: Transfer RNA (tRNA) molecules are approximately 80 nucleotides in length. RNAcentral also lists the same sequence under 1 other name. The record is from RNAcentral.